UACGUAUGGUGCAAGCGUUAUCCGGAUUUACUGGGUGUAAAGGGAGCGUAGACGGUUGUGUAAGUCUGAAGUGAAAGCCCGGGGCUCAACCCCGGGACUGCUUUGGAAACUAUGCGGCUAGAGUGUCGGAGAGGUAAGUGGAAUUCCCAGUGUAGCGGUGAAAUGCGUAGAUAUUGGGAGGAACACCAGUGGCGAAGGCGGCUUACUGGACGAUGACUGACGUUGAGGCUCGAAAGCGUGGGGAGCAAACAGG
RNAcentral lists this ribosomal RNA (253 nucleotides) under Coprococcus comes ATCC 27758. RNAcentral describes it as "partial 16S ribosomal RNA". It matches the Rfam family "Bacterial small subunit ribosomal RNA", at positions 524 to 776 of the family's 1533-position model. Lineage: Bacteria; Bacillati; Bacillota; Clostridia; Lachnospirales; Lachnospiraceae. The record is from RNAcentral.